CAGAAAAUAGUUUAUAUAAAAUUUUAAUUUUGGAAAUUAAAGAUAAAUAAUUUAUUUUUUUUUUCUGA
Molecule: transfer RNA, 68 nt
Filed under: Trichosia splendens
Lineage: Eukaryota; Metazoa; Arthropoda; Insecta; Diptera; Sciaridae
Description: tRNA-Pro
Source: RNAcentral